Molecule: non-coding RNA, 4984 nt
Organism: Punica granatum (pomegranate)
Lineage: Eukaryota; Viridiplantae; Streptophyta; Magnoliopsida; Myrtales; Lythraceae
Source: RefSeq, a predicted model, not a curated record
UAGAUAUCGACAGGUACAUCUCACUGCACGUUGACUGCUCUGCGUCAUCUCCGCCCGCUCUCGCUUUCGCUCUCGCUGUCGCUCUCGGUGUUGGUGAUCUCUGCGGAGGCACUGCCCAGCUUCCCCCGACUCCACAACCGCUGCGUGCCGGCUGAACGGCAUGCGGGAACCUGCAUAGGGCAACAAAAUGAUCGGAAAACAAUAUUUUCUCGACCCACAUGGUCGGCCUUGGUCGGUGCGGUCUGAGGUGGGUAGAGGUCAUCGAAUCCCCGCUGUGGGUCCACCGAUCGAUUGGCGCUUGCAUCCUCGGAUGGGUGAUGCCCGUUCUAUGAUGAAAUCACGGAUAAUUAGAACAAUGCCAUGGGCAGGUCAUAAUUAUGAGCCAAGUCCAGAUGAGCUGCAGCUUGCAGCUGCUUUGGAGGAAAAGUUAUUCAUGGGCGCUGCUUCAGUGAGAGAGUAUCUGGACCUCAAGACGCUGCAUCAUCGGGUGCAGAUUUUACUCCAGCAAACAAGUGCUGAGAAAGCAACUAUUGCUAAUCAGUUUUAUAAUUCUGUGCCCGCUCAUCAAGUGGGGCUGGAUGCUUCUUGCCAUCCUUGCUACUCCUCAACAGAUCAUACUUUGGGAUACACUGCAGUAUCCUCUUGCAAUAGUGGUCGAUGCUCCUUACCAGGCUGUGCAAUUGGCCUUCGCACAGAGUUCUCAGGUGGACAAGGACCUUUUAUUGAUGGUUACUCAAAAGGACAUGGUAUGUUGUCAGCUUCUUAUUUGAAGGAGCAACAACCUUCACAGGCUUUCACUUCUGAUGCUUUUGUUUCGCUAGAGGGAAGUCCAUACUGUUCCAGGUAUUGGGAUAAGUGCCUUUAUGCUGGAGCUUGUGAUGGUGGAGUAGUAUUUCCUCAGGUAAAUCCACACAAUAGCUAUGGAGCAUCACUUCAAGGUCAUGGCAUUGCUCAAAAGAAUCUGCAGUGCCGUAAUCUGCGAAAUGUGAGCCCUGUUCAGCAGAGGGAUUUGUUAUGCCUCAACUCCGAACAAAAGAUACACUUUGAGCUCCCUUCAAACCAAUUCUACCCUCUGGACUCUGUUGAAUUUAAAGGUACUUCAACUUGCUCUGGUUCAAGGGUUUCUGCAGCAUCUAAUCCAUCAUAUCCCAGUGGGGCCCAGUGGAUUAGUUGCCAAGACCAAAGGAAACGUCCACAGUCACUAGUCAGUAGCUGGUCAGUAGCUGGUAAAUCUCAAGUGUUGCCUCCUGCUCAUAAACGAUUGAAGACGGUUGAUCAGUUUGGCUACAUCUCAUCCAAAUAUGAGAUUCCUCGGGAUAUUAUGAUGAUUGAACAGUGCAUGGGUAAAAGACUUCCAAAGUUGCAGCAGUAUCCUGAAUCUCCGGUUUCCAUCGAUUCACAGUAUGAUGUUGUGCAGCCUAUUGCAGAGGACAUUCCUGACAUAAGUUGGGUGCUAAAAAAUCUUGUUCAAGGUAGUUCUGAAUGGAAUCAUGGGAAUGCUGUGUCUCCCUUGGAAGAGAUUUUUGGCAAGCCCAAUAUGGGUAUUGUGGACAAAUUCAUGGUUGAACCUGUGGCUGAUUUCCGUAGUGGGCAGUCUGGUAGUACGGUUACUUUUUCGGAAGAGAGGACUCUUGGUUGUGAGGAUGGUGGGCGAGUCAUGGAAGAUACUUCUAAACUGAAUGUGGAGAGGCAAGAUUUAGCAACAGGUGAGGCCCUAGCUGAUUCUAGUGGAUUAAAGUCUGAUAGAGUUCCUAUUCUCUCUGGAGAGCUCAAUUCUUGUUUUCUGGAAGAGAGGACUCUUACUUGUAAGGAUGGUGGGCGAGUCAUGGAAGAUACUUCUGAACUGAAUGUGGAGAAGCAAGAUUUAGCAACAAGUGAGGCCCUAAUUGAUUCCAGAGGAUUAAGGUCUGAUAGCAUUUGUCAUGUCUCUGAAGAGCGCAAUCCUUGUGUUGAGGAGAAGACGCAAAUUAUUGAACCCGAUAAAGGAUUUGAAUGCAAUCCUUGUCUUGAAGAGCACAAUCCUUGUCACGAUAAAGGAUUUGAAUGCGAGCGUGAGUUGUCUGAAGCGGUUAGCAAGGAAGUACAUGAAGUGCCUAUGUCAGGAGGCAGAAAGAUUACCGGUGCUUCAUUAUUGGAAUUUUUCACGAGAGAGCAAAUAGAAAAGCAUCUUACAGGCCUAAAGGAGUCAAGCUGUCAGAUUAUACUGCAAGAGAAGGAUGCAGCACAUACAGCAACUCAGACCCCAUGCCAGUUGUGUGGAGAAGGCACACUUUUCUUUGCUCCUGUGACCAUAUAUUGUUCAUCCUGUGGCAAGAUUAUCAAUUGCGGAGGCAAAUAUUACACCCCUCAAGAAGUAGGCGAAAAAUUUUACCUUUGUUCAACAUGCUAUGGAUGUAAGGGUAAAGUGGUUCAAUUUCGUGGAGGUUCUAUUUCUAAGGAGAAACUUGAGAAGAGAACGCACGAUGAGAAAAUGGAAGAACCCUGGGUUCAGUGUGAGUGGUGUCAAGCCUGGCAACACCAGAUAUGUGGCCUUUUCAAUGAAAGGAAAAAUGUAGGAGGAAAUGCAGAAUAUGUAUGUCCUCUUUGUUGCUUAAAAGUCAUAAAUGACAAUGACCAGAUGACCUUCAGAAACGGUUGUGCAUUUAGUGCUAAAGACCUGCCAUGCACCAAGCUCAGUGAUCACCUAGAGAGAAGAUUAAAUGACCGUCUCAAGCAAGAGAGGGAGUGCAGAGCAAAGGAUUCAGGGAAGAAUUUUCAUGAGGUUCCCGGGGCAGAAGAUCUUGUUGUCAGAGUGGUUUUAUCUUUGCCCAGAAAAGUAGAAGUAGAUAAGCAGUUUUUGGGCAUCUUUCACGGCAUAAAUUACCGUUCUGAGCUCCCAUACAAGUCUAAGGCGAUUGCUUUAUUUCAGAAGAUUGAAGGUGUGGAUGUGUUUCUCUUUGGUAUGUACGUGCAAGAGUAUGGCUCAGACUGCAGUCAACCAAACAACCGCUGCGUCUAUAUCUCUUACCUUGAUUCAGUCAAAUACUUAUGUCCUGAUAUAAAAUCUGCCUAUGGAGAAAGUCUCCGAACCUUUGUUUACCAUGAAAUAUUGGUUGGAUACCUUGAGUACUGCAAAAAGCGUGGUUUUGCGAGCUGUUAUCUAUGGGUCUGCCCACCUACAAAAGGAGAUGACUUUCUUCUCUACUGCCAUCCUAAAUUUCAGAAAAACCUGCCAAUUAAGACACUGCGCAAAUGGUACCGGACAAUGUUUAGCAAAGCAAUUGCUGAAAAAAUUGUUCUCAGUUCUACCAAUUUGUGUGAGUUUUAUUUUGCUCCAUCUGGAUGUGAUAAACUCAAGAUCACGGCUGCUCGUCUGCCGUAUUUCGAAGGCGACUAUUGGCCCAGCAAGCUGGAGAAUAUCUUGAAGGUCAUUGAUCAAAAGGCUGUAGAAGAAUCGGAUAAAAAGGUUAAGAAUAUGUCAAAGAGGGCAAUGAAAGCAUGUAAAAGCCUCUCCAAUGAUUCCCCCAAGGACAUCCUCUUGAUGGAAAAGAUUGAGCACAGUAUGAAAGAUAACAAGGACGACUUCAUGGUGGCCCAUUUGCAGUAUAUAUGCACUUGCUGUCAUGAAGUCAUAUUAUCUGGUAAGAGAUGGUUCUGUAAUCACUGCAAGAAGCUACAGCUCUGCGAAAGAUGCGUUGACGCAGAAGUUGGCCGGACUGCCGAGGAUGUUCCAGUUUGCAGAGCGAAGCAUUUGCUCUCUCAGGCGAUUGUUGAUCCCGCACCUUCUGAUACUGAGGACGGUGAUAUUACUAUAGAAAACAAGUUGUUUGAGAACAGGCACUCUUUCCUUGCCUUCUGUCAGGAGAACCAUUAUCAGUUUGAUACGCUCCGGCAGGCCAAACAUUCUUCAAUGAUGAUUCUUUAUCAUCUCAAUGAGCGUAAGGAACAGGUCACUGGGAAUGCCUGUAGCCUUUGCCAAGAGGAGAUAUUUGGUUCAAGUUGGAUGUGCAAGAUUUGCCUCAGUUUUCAUGCAUGUAAAGCAUGCUAUAUGCGACAAGAUUUCUCGCAUAGCCAUGAGUUGACUCCCUCAUCUUCUGAUGAUCCUGCGGCAGAGAUUCAAUUCAAGUGGCUGCAGGUAUCUUAUUAUAUCAAAAAACAAUAAGCUUCUUGUUGAAUAACAAGUUUCUUAUUAUUUCAUUACCGACAAUCAUCCGACAAACUACGUCGUGGCACGCUGUGAUUGGCCUCUGUAAACACCCCUUUUAAGGAGGCUCCAUAGGGAAGUUUAUCUCAACAAUAUAUAUCAAUGCUUAGUGCAGUGUAUGGUCUUCUCUAUGAACUGUGAUCUUUGCAAUGUCAGGUCUCGGUUGACCCAAAGGACAUUCUGAGUCUCGUGAUGCACUGUUCUCGGUGCAAUCCAUCUGAAAGCCAACCUUGCUCUUACCCGUACUGCUCCAAGAUCAAGGGGCUGUUCCACCAUUCGACUCUAUGUUCUCGCGGAGUUUCUAAGGGAUGCAAAUACUGUCAGAAUGUGUGGCUUAUGCUCCAACUGCACGCUAAGGAUUGUAAAGAUUCGGAUUGUAGGGUCCCAUGGUGCAGGAGAUUUAAAGGCCGACUCAGUAUGCAACCAGUGCCUCACACCGCCAGAGGGAUUCAUCAGGGUCUGAUUUCCGCAUAGAGUAGGUUGUUGCUUCAGGUACAUAGAAAAUGGAAUCAAUCAUUCUAUUGUACAGGGGCCAGGAACCAAAUUGUACAGCAGAGCGUUUCCCUUGUAAGGGGAAUUCAUUUUCCGGAGAGGCCAUAAAAAGAUGUACAGCUCCGUUUAGGUUCGACUUGAAUAAGAGCUGCUUUGGUUGGGAAAAGGGUUGAUCUCUUGUAUGGCUUUUUCUUGCUUUUGCACUUGGCAUGCUCUCUAUAUAUUUGUACCGGGGGGACUCAGCUGAGGUCUUACCAGUUUUAUAUCCUUUCGGGCCAAGCUCGAACCUCCGGAAUAAGCUUUGAUCCA